Molecule: long non-coding RNA, 254 nt
Organism: Phyllostomus discolor (pale spear-nosed bat)
Lineage: Eukaryota; Metazoa; Chordata; Mammalia; Chiroptera; Phyllostomidae
Exons: 2
Source: RefSeq, a predicted model, not a curated record
GAAGGAUUGUGAGUUGGAUCUAGAAAGCAGUGAGGUUGUGGAAUGUCAGAUUUUGAGGUAAGGUGAGAGUAAAUGACAGUAAAUAGGUGUAGUGUGUGAGAGAAUAGAAUUAACCACUACAGUAAUAGAGUUCAGGAAACUGUGAAGUGGGCUAAUAUUUGGGAGGGGUUUUGUGUAGUAUUUUCAAUUGUAUGGAACAGUUAUUAUUCACAAUAAUAUUAGAGCAACAAUCAUAUGACAGAAUCUAUGUGAUC